CGGGGAAUAACCAUUGGAAACGAUGGCUAAUACCGCAUACGUCCUCAGGGAGAAAGGCUUCGGCCACCCUUGGAUGGUCCCGCGUCUGAUUAGCUUGUUGGUGAGGUAACGGCUCACCAAGGCGACGAUCAGUAGCUGGUCUGAGAGGAUGAUCAGCCACACUGGGACUGAGACACGGCCCAGACUCCUACGGGAGGCAGCAGUGGGGAAUAUUGGACAAUGGGCGAAAGCCUGAUCCAGCAAUGCCGCGUGAGUGAAGAAGGCCUUAGGGUUGUAAAACUCUUUCGCCGGUGAAGAUGAUGACUGUAGCCGGAAAAGAAGCCUUGGCUAACUCCGUGCCAGCAGCCGCGGUAAUACGGAGGGGGCUAGCGUUGUUCGGAUUUACUGGGCGUAAAGCGCGCGUAGGCGGUAUAUCAAGUUAGGCGUGAAAGCCCCGGGCUCAACCCGGGAACUGCGCUUAUUACUGAUAAACUAGAGUCCGGGAGAGGGUAGCGGCAUUCCCAGUGUAGAGGUGAAAUUCGUAGAUAUUGGGAAGAACACCAGUUGCGAAGGCGGCUACCUGGACCGGUACUGACGCUGAGGUGCGAAAGCGUGGGGAGCAAACAGG
Molecule: ribosomal RNA, 607 nt
Filed under: uncultured bacterium
Lineage: Bacteria
Description: bacterial SSU rRNA
Rfam family: Bacterial small subunit ribosomal RNA
Source: RNAcentral